This 497-nucleotide ribosomal RNA is filed under the name uncultured bacterium. RNAcentral's name for it is "partial 16S ribosomal RNA". It matches the Rfam family "Bacterial small subunit ribosomal RNA", at positions 28 to 507 of the family's 1533-position model. The record is from RNAcentral.
GAUGAACGCUGGCGGCGUGCCUAAUACAUGCAAGUCGAGCGAACGGACGAGAAGCUUGCUUCUCUGAUGUUAGCGGCGGACGGGUGAGUAACACGUGGAUAACCUACCUAUAAGACUGGGAUAACUUCGGGAAACCGUAGCUAAUACCGGAUAAUAUUUUGAACCGCAUGGUUCAAAAGUGAAAGACGGUUUUGCUGUCACUUAUAGAUGGAUCCGCGCUGCAUUAGCUAGUUGGUAAGGUAACGGCUUACCAAGGCAACGAUGCGUAGCCGACCUGAGAGGGUGAUCGGCCACACUGGAACUGAGACACGGUCCAGACUCCUACGGGAGGCAGCAGUAGGGAAUCUUCCGCAAUGGGCGAAAGCCUGACGGAGCAACGCCGCGUGAGUGAUGAAGGUCUUCGGAUCGUAAAACUCUGUUAUUAGGGAAGAACAAAUGUGUAAGUAACUAUGCACGUCUUGACGGUACCUAAUCAGAAAGCCACGGCUAACUACGUG